UACGAACUGUGCAAACGUUAUUCGGAAUCACUGGGCUUAAAAGGGUGCGUAGGCGGCUUGUUAAGUAGGGUGUGAAAUCCCCCGGCUCAACCGGGGGAAUUGCGCCCUAAACUGGCGAGCUGGGAGUGAGAUAGGGGUGUGUGGAACUUCCAGUGGAGCGGUGAAAUGUGUUGAUAUGGAAGGAACGCCAGUGGCGAAAAGCGACACUGGGUCUCAACUGACGCUGAGGCACGAAAGCCAGGGGAACAAACGGG
This 254-nucleotide ribosomal RNA is filed under the name uncultured bacterium. RNAcentral's name for it is "partial 16S ribosomal RNA". It matches the Rfam family "Bacterial small subunit ribosomal RNA", at positions 524 to 776 of the family's 1533-position model. The record is from RNAcentral.